This 553-nucleotide ribosomal RNA is filed under the name uncultured Verrucomicrobiota bacterium. RNAcentral describes it as "bacterial SSU rRNA". It matches the Rfam family "Bacterial small subunit ribosomal RNA", at positions 28 to 559 of the family's 1533-position model. The record is from RNAcentral. Lineage: Bacteria; Pseudomonadati; Verrucomicrobiota.
AACGAACGCUGGCGGCGUGGAUAAGACAUGCAAGUCGGACGAGAUUUUCCGUUGUAGCAAUACGAUGGAAAGUCUAGUGGCGAACGGGUGCUUAACACGUGGGCAACCUGCCAGGAAGUGGGGGAUAGCUCGCCGAAAGGCGAAUUAAUACCGCAUGUGAUUAGAGUGGACAUCCAUUCGAAAUUAAAGUCGGGGCAACCUGACGCUUCCUGUGGGGCCCGCGGCCUAUCAGCUAGUUGGUGUGGUAAUGGCUCACCAAGGCUUUGACGGGUAGCUGGUCUGAGAGGACGACCAGCCACACUGGGACUGAGACACGGCCCAGACACCUACGGGUGGCAGCAGUCGAGAAUUUUUCUCAAUGGGGGAAACCCUGAAGGAGCGACGCCGCGUGGAGGAUGAAGGUCUUCGGAUUGUAAACUCCUGUCAUUGGGGAACAAUGCGCAGAUAUUAACUGUAUUUGCGUUGAUAGUACCCGAAGAGGAAGAGGCGGCUAACUCUGUGCCAGCAGCCGCGGUAAUACAGAGGUCUCAAGCGUUGUUCGGAUUCAUUGGGC